This 914-nucleotide long non-coding RNA is filed under the name Brachypodium distachyon (stiff brome). Its description in RNAcentral is "long non-coding RNA (BDIS_LNC004016)". Lineage: Eukaryota; Viridiplantae; Streptophyta; Magnoliopsida; Poales; Poaceae. The record is from RNAcentral.
UGGUACAUCACAUUUAUCUAGAAAAAAGCACAUUACAUCACAAAUACAUGACGAGUACAUCAAGACACAUCACAGAUAAAUCAAGAUACAUAAAAACUAUAUUAAGGUACAUCACAGUCACCUAAGUCAUAACGAGUACAUCAAUGUGCAUGACGAGUACAUCGAGGAAGAUGUACUUCAUCAACAAUAAAUUACAUACACGAUAAAUACCUGCCCAAUCCUCAACGGAGAUAGACAAGAAAAGAAGAAAUAAUCUAAGUACACGCAGGUACGCACUCUGCUAAUCUUUCUGUAGAUCGAGAAUAUGUGAAAGGAAACGGGAGAAGAAACCAAGCACGCACAAGGUAGAUAUGGGAACACAAGGAGAGAGAUGGCAGGCUGUAGGCAUGCACGAACAGAGGUGGUUUCCAUGGGCGGCGGCGGAGCAAAUCUGCGAGGUAUGGGGCCAUGGGGGCGGAGGACAGCGCGGCUGAGCCGGCGGCCACCCACGGCAAGGGCGAAGCUGCUAGAGGAAGAAGAAGAGGAGGAGGAAGCACAGUGCUGCUUGAGGAAGAAGAGGAGUUUUCUGAUUUAGGAGAAGAGAGAGAGGAACGCAUGCAUCUGUUAAUUAAAGGAGAGAGAGAUUAGAAAAAGAAGAGAGAGGACACGUGGUUACGUUGGUUACAACGAUGGAUCACCUGGAGCUUUGGCAGUUGGCCGUCACCACCCCUGUGAAUCCCGUUGAGCUGUGGAGGACGAAGGUAACAUGGGUAUAAUUGAUUGCAAACCUGCAGCCCAAAUAGUCAGAGUUGAAGGUAGCAGGCGGGCGUGUAUUUGCAACUUUUCAUCGUUUCUUAUCCGUGGCGUUGGAUGUGGAUCAGCCGGUUGAGAAAGCCCCGGAUUCACAAGAUACGUCGCCCUAGAAACGAUUCAAG